This 1455-nucleotide long non-coding RNA is filed under the name Sus scrofa (pig). RNAcentral describes it as "lncRNA (ENSSSCG00065069647.1)". The record is from RNAcentral. Lineage: Eukaryota; Metazoa; Chordata; Mammalia; Artiodactyla; Suidae.
GGGCCGGUCUGGAGGCUUUGGCCUCAGCAUCUCGCUCAAGCUCUGGCCUGGGCAGUGAGGGCGCGGCCCGGCACCAGGGAGGCAGAAGCCAAGGCGGAUACGCUCCUCUACCCGCUGGAAGCGCGUGCUCCUGCAGCACAGCCACCUCCCCGCUCUCGGAGCUCAGGCGCCCUUGAGCCGAGGCCUGGAACGGGGCAGGAGCUGCAGUGGAUCCCGCCAGGUGAAGGGUGAGUUUCUAGAGGGGCAUGGAGGGGGCAGGGACAUCAGGGAAGCCAGUCAACAGCCGGUGUGAGUCCCUGAGCUGAGGGCCAUCUUCCCGGCAAGGACAAGGCCCGGGGUCUCCCGGUCUCAGCGGGGCCGCCUUGCAGACAAUACCCACUCUUCUCAGUUGAAACCUUCAAAAUUACAGCUUCUGGAAGUUCCCGUCGUGGCGCAGUGGUUAACGAAUCCGACUAGGAACCAUGAGGUUGCAGGUUUGGUCCCUGGCCUUGCUCAGUGGGUUAACGAUCCGGCGUUGCCGUGAGCUGUGGUGUAGGUUGCAGACGCGGCUCGGAUCCCGCGUUGCUGUGGCUCUGGCGUAGGCCGGUGGCUACAGCUCCGAUUAGACCCCUAGCCUGGGAACCUCCAUAUGCCGCGGGAGCGGCCCAAGAAAUAGCAAAAAGACAAAAAAAAAAAACACUACAGCUUCCUGCCAGACCCCCUCAACCUUCCAUAGAGCCCCCCAGCAGGCCCCGCAGAGAAGGGGAUUCUGUCUCAAGGUCGUUUGCUCCCUCAUCCAUAGGAUCAACUUAAACCACGUCCCAUAUGGCUCCUGGGGACUCCAGCUGCCUCUGCCUCCUGCAAGUGGCGCUGGGUGACCUCAGGCCCAGCCCCACCCACCCCGGGCUGCAAACCCAGAGGCCACUGUGCUGCCAAGGGCAAGGACCUCCCCUGUGCUCUCUGGGGAGGAGACAUCCAGUGGCUACCCUCAGCUGCAACUUGGUGUCUGUGGGACCACAUGAUGAUGGAAUCUGCAAGCAGAACUUAGCCCAAGGCCUCUGCUCCAGGUCGCCUGGGGCAGUUGCAAGCAACCCUCUAAACCGACCCAAGGGCUCAGGCGAGAUGUGGCCCUGCCACAUGCUCCUUGAGACCUUCACGUCAGAAGAGCCUUCAGCAGCCCUGGCCACUGACCACCCCCCAGACCGAUGCCGCUGGGCCAUAAACCCCAACGGGCCCCCCAGCUGGCAAACAGCAGCCUGGGAAGGAGAGUCCCAACUUCCCCCGGGGUCCCAGCUGGGUCGGAUCCAAGCGCCACACCUGCACACCACAGCGGGCCCUUCCCACAGGCCCUCAAAGGUUCUGAGACUGAGAAGAGGCAGCAGCAUCAAGCCCUGGGAAGAGGCUGCAAAGCUGUCCCCACUCUUACUGUCUGCUGGCUGUGGUCACCAGCCGGGAAGAGGCCACCCAUGCCCUUGA